RNAcentral lists this non-coding RNA (92 nucleotides) under human gut metagenome. Its description in RNAcentral is "Glycine riboswitch". It matches the Rfam family "Glycine riboswitch aptamer", at positions 9 to 86 of the family's 94-position model. Rfam says of the family: This family represents the bacterial glycine riboswitch. Glycine riboswitches usually consist of two metabolite-binding aptamers domains with similar structures in tandem. The aptamers cooperatively bind glycine to regulate the expression of downstream genes. The record is from RNAcentral.
CGAUACUCCGAAAAGACCGGACGGCAACGACCGGCCACCGAAGGUGCAACCUCCCGCGCGGAGGGAAUCUCUCAGGUAACGAAACGGGGGCA